AGCAAUGAUGAUGAAUCGUUCGUUGGUUGUAGAUCUUGCAGUAAAAAGGAUAAGUAUGAUGUAUAUGCUGAGAAAUAAAUUCGACUUUGAUUUAGUUUGAUUCUAUGAGGUGUAUAUGGACGAAUUGUUAAGAUGGAUCAAUGUGA
RNAcentral lists this non-coding RNA (146 nucleotides) under Striatella unipunctata. The record is from RNAcentral. Lineage: Eukaryota; Bacillariophyta; Striatellaphyceae; Striatellales; Striatellaceae.